This 253-nucleotide ribosomal RNA is filed under the name uncultured bacterium. Its description in RNAcentral is "partial 16S ribosomal RNA". It matches the Rfam family "Bacterial small subunit ribosomal RNA", at positions 524 to 776 of the family's 1533-position model. The record is from RNAcentral.
UACGUAGGGUGCGAGCGUUAAUCGGAAUUACUGGGCGUAAAGCGUGCGCAGGCGGUUUUUUAAGACUGAUGUGAAAUCCCCGGGCUCAACCUGGGAACUGCAUUUGUGACUGCAUAGCUAGAGUACGGUAGAGGGGGAUGGAAUUCCGCGUGUAGCAGUGAAAUGCGUAGAUAUGCGGAGGAACACCGAUGGCGAAGGCAAUCCCCUGGACCUGUACUGACGCUCAUGCACGAAAGCGUGGGGAGCAAACAGG